UGGCGAACGGGUGAGUAACACGUGGGUGAUCUGCCCUGCACUUCGGGAUAAGCCUGGGAAACUGGGUCUAAUACCGGAUAGGAGCCAUUUUUAGUGUGAUGGUUGGAAAGUCUUUUCGGUGUAGGAUGAGCUCGCGGCCUAUCAGCUUGUUGGUGGGGUAAUGGCCUACCAAGGCGGCGACGGGUAGCCGGCCUGAGAGGGUGAUCGGCCACACUGGGACUGAGACACGGCCCAG
Molecule: ribosomal RNA, 235 nt
Filed under: uncultured Actinomycetales bacterium
Lineage: Bacteria; Bacillati; Actinomycetota; Actinomycetes; Actinomycetales
Description: partial 16S ribosomal RNA
Rfam family: Bacterial small subunit ribosomal RNA
Source: RNAcentral